AUAAAGCACCUGUAUCAUUAUGGCUGCCUCUUGGCUUUGUAUCUGCCUGUUGGUUGCCACAUGGGAUCAUCUCUGACUUUUAGAGUGAAGGAACUGAAUGGCAAGUCCAAGGUCAACAGAGAAGCUAAGGCACAAGAGCCUAUACAUGGCUCCACAGAGGAAUCUGGCGUGGAUGCCAGUGUAUAUGAUGCCAUAUCAUAAGUGGCAGAUCUGGAGGUCUAUGUACAGUUGCAGAUGGCCAAGGAACUCUUCAAUGCAAUGAGCCAAACCUAUUACAGUAUUGAGGAGGUACUCCCUGACCUGAUGGAUCAUGCAAAUAAAUUAAUGGACACAGUACAGGCUUUGCAGACUGCUGUGGAACAGAGCAUUGUUAGGCUGCUGUGGCUGCUGCUAGACAGCUCUCUGUCUCUGCUCUCCCCCUCCCCUCUCUGUCCUUAAUUGCUACAUAUACCUGGUCAACCUACCACUCCUCGUCGGAUCAUAGUCUAGACCACGUUAUUGGAACCUGACUCCUGACUCUUGCCUCCACUUCACUCCUGCCACCCACCCACCUAUCCUGCUUGCCGCAACUGGACCUCAACGGACUCGACACCACCACUUGGACUACACGGUAUUAUUCCUGCUCUGAA
Perca flavescens (yellow perch) is the source of this 629-nucleotide long non-coding RNA. RefSeq lists it as uncharacterized. The record is from RefSeq and is a predicted model, not a curated record. Lineage: Eukaryota; Metazoa; Chordata; Actinopteri; Perciformes; Percidae. The transcript is spliced from 5 exons.